CGGGGUGUAGCUCAGCUUGGCUAGAGCGCCUGGUUUGGGACCAGGAGGUCGUAGGUUCGAAUCCUGUCACCCCGAC
RNAcentral lists this transfer RNA (76 nucleotides) under Anaerohalosphaera lusitana. Its description in RNAcentral is "tRNA-Pro". It matches the Rfam family "tRNA". From Rfam's summary of the family: Transfer RNA (tRNA) molecules are approximately 80 nucleotides in length. Their secondary structure includes four short double-helical elements and three loops (D, anti-codon, and T loops). Lineage: Bacteria; Pseudomonadati; Planctomycetota; Phycisphaerae; Sedimentisphaerales; Anaerohalosphaeraceae. The record is from RNAcentral.